AUCCCACCGAGGCCACCAUAGACCAGCCAGCCCUCAGCGUACAUGCCAGCUAAUUACAGAUGCAGGAGCAAACCCCUGGCCCAUACAUCAAUUUUAAUGUCAUUGAAUACAGAGAACAAAUCUCAUUCACUUUGGUAUCGGCUGGAGUCAACAAACAUUUAAAAAUCAUUUACUGCGUCUGAUUUUGGGAUUUUGGAAGCAUUGCCUUCUACAGAAUCCACAGUAGUCCGAAGCUCUUCUACGGUUUUUGUCAAACUUUGAUUUUCCAUCUCUAGCUUCAAUAAUCUACUUGAUGUCAACUCAUUCACCUCAUGGCCCAGGGAUUUCUGGGGUGCUAUAAUAUUGAAAAAUACACCAUUGUAUUUACUCUUUACUGUUUUUACUAUGUUUACUCUUUACUAUUUAAAAAGUUGAGUGUAUAUGCAUUGCAUCAUCUGAUCCUUAACUUUAUUAAAAAUUCAAUGAGGUUAUAUAAGAUAAACAAGAUAAAAGAAGUAAAUCUUUUUUUUCCUUUUCUUUUUUUCUUUUUUUUAAAGAGACGGGGUCUCUCUCUGUCACCCAGGCUGGAGUGCAGUGAUGUGCUCCUAGCUCACUGCAGCCUCAAACGCCUGGUCUGAAGGGAUCCUCCCACCUCAGUCUCCCAAGCGGCCGGGACUGCAGGUACAGCCAGCUAAUUUUUUUAUUUUUUAGUAAAGACUGGGUCUCUGUUACUUAGGCUGGUCUCGAACUCCUGAGCUCAAGCAAUCCUCCUGCCUUGGCCUCCCAAAGUGCUGGGAUUACAGGCAUGAGCCGCUGCACCCAGCUAAGAGAUACAUGUUUAACUUUUAAUGCAUCCACAGCAUUCUAGUUAAAAA
RNAcentral lists this long non-coding RNA (854 nucleotides) under Homo sapiens (human). RNAcentral's name for it is "HSALNT0031756". Lineage: Eukaryota; Metazoa; Chordata; Mammalia; Primates; Hominidae. The record is from RNAcentral.